RNAcentral lists this ribosomal RNA (495 nucleotides) under uncultured bacterium. Its description in RNAcentral is "partial 16S ribosomal RNA". It matches the Rfam family "Bacterial small subunit ribosomal RNA", at positions 28 to 507 of the family's 1533-position model. The record is from RNAcentral.
GACGAACGCUGGCGGCGUGCCUAAUACAUGCAAGUCGAACGCUGAAGGAGGAGCUUGCUUCUCUGGAUGAGUUGCGAACGGGUGAGUAACGCGUAGGUAACCUGCCUGGUAGCGGGGGAUAACUAUUGGAAACGAUAGCUAAUACCGCAUAAGAGUAGAUGUUGCAUGACAUUUGCUUAAAAGGUGCAAUUGCAUCACUACCAGAUGGACCUGCGUUGUAUUAGCUAGUUGGUGGGGUAACGGCUCACCAAGGCGACGAUACAUAGCCGACCUGAGAGGGUGAUCGGCCACACUGGGACUGAGACACGGCCCAGACUCCUACGGGAGGCAGCAGUAGGGAAUCUUCGGCAAUGGACGGAAGUCUGACCGAGCAACGCCGCGUGAGUGAAGAAGGUUUUCGGAUCGUAAAGCUCUGUUGUAAGAGAAGAACGAGUGUGAGAGUGGAAAGUUCACACUGUGACGGUAUCUGAACAGAAAGGGACGGCUAACUACGUG